This 366-nucleotide long non-coding RNA is filed under the name Homo sapiens (human). Its description in RNAcentral is "non-protein coding lnc-ETV5-3:1". The record is from RNAcentral. Lineage: Eukaryota; Metazoa; Chordata; Mammalia; Primates; Hominidae.
GGAUGGGCGGCACGCCUGGACCAUGAAGCACUUCAAGAAACCAACCUACUGCAACUUCUGCCAUAUCAUGCUCAUGGGCGUCCGCAAGCAAGGCCUGUGCUGCACUUACUGUAAAUACACUGUCCACGAACGCUGUGUGUCCAGAAACAUUCCUGGUUGUGUCAAAACGUACUCAAAAGCCAAAAGGAGUGGUGAGUUUCACCGCAAAUGUGAAUUAUCAACGUUGUGUGACGGUGGGGAACUCAGAGACCACAUCUUACUGCCCACCUCCAUAUGCCCCAUCACCCGGGUAAGUGCUCCUGCCCCGGCGAGGGCUGUAGCUUCUCCGGGUUCUGGUUUCAGAUGUAGGCAGCUUUCAGACAUUCA